UUUCUCCUUCUCUUUUGAUCCCGUCCUUGCACACCCUCUAACUCUCCCAAUGGCAAAGCCAACAAUGUUGUCCGUCGGUCACCAUUCCUACUAAUGAUAGUAGUGUCUUCAAGCUCGAGACGGAGCAAAAAUAUAUCGAUGUAGUGAUAGGCCGUAGUCUUAUGAGAUACUGAUUAAAAAUCGAUUGGUGAAUGUGUCUCCCACCGAUGGUUCAUAAUAUAUUUAAAUUUUAAAAAUUGAAUUUUUUUUUCGAUAUUGAAAUUUUAAAGAUCUAAACUUUAAUUUUUUUGAAAAAAAAUUUAAAUUUUAAAAAUUAUUUUUUAAUCUCCUCUUUUACUUCUUCCUUGAUCCUUCCCUUAUAGUUGAUGUUUUUUAAUCCGCAAAGUGUCAAAUAAUCGAUAUCAAUUUUUUAAAUAUCAAAAAUAAUUGAAAGUGUGCAAUCAAAAGUAAAAAAAAAAUUUUAAUAGUAAAAUCCAUAAUGACCAAGAAUCUUCAUUUUUAUCUUCUUUUCUAAAAUAAUCAAGAAUAUCAUAAUUUUUUUUUCUUUCCCUUUCUUCC
Molecule: long non-coding RNA, 558 nt
Filed under: Elaeis guineensis (African oil palm)
Lineage: Eukaryota; Viridiplantae; Streptophyta; Magnoliopsida; Arecales; Arecaceae
Description: long non-coding RNA (EGUI_LNC021065)
Source: RNAcentral